CUCGUAGGCGGCCAACUAAGUCAUACGUGAAAUCCCUCGGCUUAACCGGGGAACUGCGUCUGAUACUGGAUGGCUUGAGUUCGGGAGAGGGAUGCGGAAUUCCAGGUGUAGCGGUGAAAUGCGUAGAUAUCUGGAGGAACACCGGUGGCGAAGGCGGCAUCCUGGACCGAUACUGACGCUGAGGAGCGAAAGCCAGGGGAGCAAACGG
RNAcentral lists this ribosomal RNA (208 nucleotides) under uncultured bacterium. RNAcentral describes it as "partial 16S ribosomal RNA". It matches the Rfam family "Bacterial small subunit ribosomal RNA", at positions 568 to 775 of the family's 1533-position model. The record is from RNAcentral.